GACGAACGCUGGCGGCGUGCCUAAUACAUGCAAGUCGAGCGGACUGAUUAAGAGCUUGCUCUUAUGACGUUAGCGGCGGACGGGUGAGUAACACGUGGGCAACCUGCCCUGUAGAUCGGGAUAACACCGAGAAAUCGGUGCUAAUACCGGGUAAUAUCUGAGAUCACAUGAUCUUAGGUUAAAAGAUGGCUCCGGCUAUCACUACAGGAUGGGCCCGCGGCGCAUUAGCUAGUUGGUAAGGUAAUGGCUUACCAAGGCGACGAUGCGUAGCCGACCUGAGAGGGUGAUGGGCCACACUGGGACUGAGACACGGCCCAGACUCCUACGGGAGGCAGCAGUAGGGAAUCUUCCGCAAUGGACGAAAGUCUGACGGAGCAACGCCGCGUGAGUGAUGAAGGGUUUCGGCGCGUAAAGCGCUGUUGUUAGGGAAGAAACAGUACCGAACGAACUAGGUCGGUACCUUGACGGUACCCAACCAGAAAGCCACGGCUAACUACGUG
RNAcentral lists this ribosomal RNA (500 nucleotides) under uncultured bacterium. RNAcentral describes it as "partial 16S ribosomal RNA". It matches the Rfam family "Bacterial small subunit ribosomal RNA", at positions 28 to 507 of the family's 1533-position model. The record is from RNAcentral.